CCUACGGGUGGCAGCAGUGGGGAAUAUUGCACAAUGGGGGAAACCCUGAUGCAGCAACGCCGCGUGAGUGAGGAAGUAUUUCGGUAUGUAAAGCUCUAUCAGCAGGGAAUAGAAAAGAAGGUACCUGAAAAAGAAGCCCCGGCUAACUACGUGCCAGCAGCCGCGGUAAUACGUAGGGGGCAAGCGUUAUCCGGAUUUACUGGGUGUAAAGGGAGCGUAGACGGAAAGGCAAGUCAGGUGUGAAAACUCCGGGCUCAACCUGGAGACUGCACUUGAAACUGGGUGUCUUGAGGGCAGGAGAGGAUAGUGGAAUUCCUAGUGUAGCGGUGAAAUGCGUAGAUAUUAGGAGGAACACCAGUGGCGAAGGCGACUUUCUGGACUGUACCUGACGCUGAGGCGCGAAAGCGUGGGUAGCGAACGGGAUUAGAUACCCUUGUAGUC
This 441-nucleotide ribosomal RNA is filed under the name uncultured bacterium. Its description in RNAcentral is "partial 16S ribosomal RNA". It matches the Rfam family "Bacterial small subunit ribosomal RNA", at positions 338 to 795 of the family's 1533-position model. The record is from RNAcentral.